Long non-coding RNA from Cucumis melo (muskmelon), 630 nucleotides. RefSeq lists it as uncharacterized. The record is from RefSeq and is a predicted model, not a curated record. NCBI's taxonomy places the organism in Eukaryota, Viridiplantae, Streptophyta, Magnoliopsida, Cucurbitales, Cucurbitaceae. The transcript is spliced from 2 exons.
CGAAAUGAACAAUUUCACGACCAUCGUUGUUAUUGCAUCUCGAUCAGGAACUCCUCCGAUGGCGGCCGAGAAUUUACAGAAUUUAGAUGGACGGGUGAAGUCACCUUCAAAUAAUCAGCUACAAGCUUCAACACAAACAUUACAGGCUUGUGGAUCCAUCUCGGUUAGAUUUUCUGGAAGGAAUAUGUUUUCUCCAGUUAUCUUCUGCACCAUUUGGAGAGAAAUACUUGAACCUUAGCUAAUUUCCUCUUAGCUCUCCAGAUUCAACAUCCUUGCAUUAUGCAGGUUCGUUGGAAUUGAGACUUCUACACUGGAUUUUGAGUAAAAUGGGAUUGUGGGGGAAAGUGACAAGGGAUUAAUUUCAACUGGGACAAAAUCUUCGGUGUCAUAGCGCAACGGUGGAGAUGCUUCAAAUCAAUUCCGAAUACUGUAAGUAUACUUCCAUAUAGCACUGUAAGUAUCAGAAUCUCUAUUCACAAUUUACUCCGUAGAUCUCAGAGCUGCUCAUCUCUUUUUAUGUAAUGGGUGUCUGUACGUUGAUCUAUUUUUAGGUAACAAAGCGUCAGUUUGUGAGUUGACAUGUUUGUUAAUAUGCAUUCUAACCAAUAUGCGACAACUACAUUUUCCUCA